GAAAAUGUCAAAGAGGGGUCAAAGCAUUAAAUAAAAGUACAACAAAAAUGUGGGAGGUCAAAAAAAUUAAGAGUGAGUUGACCUCAAAAGUUGGGGUUAAAAAUAUUUAAAAAUAAUAAAAUAAAAAUGCAAAAAGAAAAUUAAAUGGAAAAUAAAAGAAAAUAUGCAUUAAAUGCAAAAUGAUAUUAAAAAAAUUUAAAAUAAGUAUGAGUUAGAAAUAUUUUUACGGAAUUAUUGAAAAAAAUUAAGAUUAAAAAAUAAUAAGGUAGUUAUUUAAAAUUAAUUUAGGAAGAAAAGGAAAU
Molecule: long non-coding RNA, 302 nt
Filed under: Lathyrus oleraceus (garden pea)
Lineage: Eukaryota; Viridiplantae; Streptophyta; Magnoliopsida; Fabales; Fabaceae
Description: Pisum sativum (pea) long non-coding RNA (PSAT_LNC021311)
Source: RNAcentral